GCCUCUAUAGCUCAGUGGUAGAGCGCAGCACUUGUACUGACAUGCUGAGGUCCGUUGUUCAAUCCAGCGUGGAGGCA
This 77-nucleotide transfer RNA is filed under the name Drepanopeziza brunnea f. sp. 'multigermtubi' MB_m1. RNAcentral describes it as "Marssonina brunnea f. sp. 'multigermtubi' MB_m1 tRNA". It matches the Rfam family "tRNA". From Rfam's summary of the family: Transfer RNA (tRNA) molecules are approximately 80 nucleotides in length. Their secondary structure includes four short double-helical elements and three loops (D, anti-codon, and T loops). The record is from Rfam by way of RNAcentral. Lineage: Eukaryota; Fungi; Ascomycota; Leotiomycetes; Helotiales; Drepanopezizaceae.